Molecule: ribosomal RNA, 512 nt
Filed under: uncultured bacterium
Lineage: Bacteria
Description: partial 16S ribosomal RNA
Rfam family: Bacterial small subunit ribosomal RNA
Source: RNAcentral
AUUGAACGCUGGCGGCAUGCCUAAUACAUGCAGUAGAACGCUGAAGGAAGGAGCUUGCUCUUUCCGGAUGAGUUGCGAACGGGUGAGUAACGCGUAGGUAACCUGCCUGGUAGCGGGGGAUAACUAUUGGAAACGAUAGCUAAUACCGCAUAACAGUAGAUAUCGCAUGAUAGCUGCUUGAAAGGUGCAAAUGCACCACUACCAGAUGGACCUGCGUUGUAUUAGCUAGUUGGUGAGGUAACGGCUCACCAAGGCAACGAUACAUAGCCGACCUGAGAGGGUGAUCGGCCACACUGGGACUGAGACACGGCCCAGACUCCUACGGGAGGCAGCAGUAGGGAAUCUUCGGCAAUGGACGGAAGUCUGACCGAGCAACGCCGCGUGAGUGAAGAAGGUUUUCGGAUCGUAAAGCUCUGUUGUAAGAGAAGAACGAGUGUGAGAGUGGAAAGUUCACACUGUGACGGUAUCUUACCAGAAAGGGACGGCUAACUACGUGCCAGCCGCCGCCGUAA